Molecule: long non-coding RNA, 255 nt
Filed under: Mytilus galloprovincialis (Mediterranean mussel)
Lineage: Eukaryota; Metazoa; Mollusca; Bivalvia; Mytilida; Mytilidae
Source: RNAcentral
GUCCGGGUCCGAUUUCAGAAUCAAUGGAGGACGUACUAUAAAAAAAUCAAAAAAUUGUAUGUUAUACUUGUAUGUAUUGUUAAUAUAAGAUAAUGUCUUCAACUUUUAUUAUUUAGUACAUAUUACUAGUCCCAUCGAACAUUGCUGUUUUUCAUGUAACAAUAACGCAAUGUAACCGUAGCCUCAAUAAUUAUUGUUACACUCGUAAUUAAUCGGUUCCUUACCCAACUUUGCAUUCCGGCAAUUAGUCUCCAA